This 86-nucleotide transfer RNA is filed under the name Armatimonadota bacterium. Its description in RNAcentral is "Armatimonadetes bacterium (activated sludge metagenome) tRNA-Leu". It matches the Rfam family "tRNA". Rfam says of the family: Transfer RNA (tRNA) molecules are approximately 80 nucleotides in length. Their secondary structure includes four short double-helical elements and three loops (D, anti-codon, and T loops). The record is from RNAcentral. Lineage: Bacteria; Bacillati; Armatimonadota.
GGGCGGGUGGUGGAAUUGGCAGACACGCUAGACUUAGGAUCUAGUGGGCAUAGCCCGUGGGGGUUCGAGUCCCCCCUCGCCCACCA